RNAcentral lists this ribosomal RNA (712 nucleotides) under uncultured Gammaproteobacteria bacterium. RNAcentral's name for it is "bacterial SSU rRNA". It matches the Rfam family "Bacterial small subunit ribosomal RNA", at positions 34 to 721 of the family's 1533-position model. Lineage: Bacteria; Pseudomonadati; Pseudomonadota; Gammaproteobacteria. The record is from RNAcentral.
AGCUGGCGGCAUGCUUAACACAUGCAAGUCGAACGGUAACAGGACGCUGUGAUCCCCUCGGGGGGAACUUGUCGCUGACGAGUGGCGGACGGGGGAGUAAUGCUUAGGAAUCUGCCCAGUAGUGGGGGACAACACGGGGAAACUCGUGCUAAUACCGCAUACGCCUUACGAGGGAAAGUGGGGGAUCUUCGGACCUCACGCUAUUGGAUGAGCCUAAGUCGGAUUAGCUUUUUGGGGGGGUAAAGGCCUACCAAGGCGACGAUCCGUAGCUGGUCUGAGAGGACGAUCAGCCACACUGGGACUGAGACACGGCCCAGACUCCUACGGGAGGCAGCAGUGGGGAAUAUUGGACAAUGGGGGCAACCCUGAUCCAGCAAUGCCGCGUGUGUGAAGAAGGCCUGCGGGUUUUAAAGCACUUUCAGUAGAGAAGAAAUAGUUUGAGGUUAAUACCCUCAGACCUUGACGUAACCUACAGAAGAAGCACCGGCUAACUCCGUGCCAGCAGCCGCGGUAAUACGGAGGGGGCAAGCGUUAAUCGGAAUUACUGGGCGUAAAGCGCGCGUAGGCGGUCUGGUCAGUCGGAUGUGAAAGCCCCGGGCUUAACCUGGGAAUUGCAUUCGAUACUGCCAAACUAGAAUGUUGGAGAGGGAAGUGGAAUUUCCGGGGUAGCGGGGAAAUGCGUAGAGAUCGGAAGGAACACCAGUGGCGAAGG